Molecule: ribosomal RNA, 377 nt
Filed under: uncultured bacterium
Lineage: Bacteria
Description: bacterial SSU rRNA
Rfam family: Bacterial small subunit ribosomal RNA
Source: RNAcentral
UAAUACGUAGGGUCCGAGCGUUGUCCGGAGUUACUGGGCGUAAAGCGCGCGCAGGCGGCUUGGCAAGCAUGGCGUGAAAGCCCCCGGCUUAACUGGGGAGAGUCGUCGUGGACUGCCAGGCUUGAGGGCGGUAGGGGUUGGUGGAAUUCCCGGUGUAGUGGUGAAAUGCGUAGAGAUCGGGAGGAACACCCGUGGCGAAGGCGGCCAACUGGGCCGACCCUGACGCUGAGGCGCGAAGGCGUGGGGAGCGAACGGGAUUAGAUACCCCGGUAGUCCACGCGGUAAACGAUGCCGACUAGGCGUGGGGGGACUUGACCCCCUCCGUGCCGGAGCUAACGCGGGAAGUCGGCCGCCUGGGGAGUACGGCCGCAAGGCUA